Molecule: ribosomal RNA, 301 nt
Filed under: uncultured bacterium
Lineage: Bacteria
Description: partial 16S ribosomal RNA
Rfam family: Bacterial small subunit ribosomal RNA
Source: RNAcentral
CAGCCGCCGCGGUAAUGCGUAGGUGGCAAGCGUUGUCCGGAAUUAUUGGGCGUAAAGGGCUCGCAGGCGGUUUCUUAAGUCUGGUGUGAAAGCCCCCGGCUCAACCGGGGAGGGUCAUUGGAAACUGGGAAACUUGAGUGCAGAAGAGGAGAGUAGAAUUCCACGUGUAGCGGUGAAAUGCGUAGAGAUGUGGAGGAACACCAGUGGCGAAGGCGACUCUCUGGUCUGUAACUGACGCUGAGGAGCGAAAGCGUGGGGAGCGAACAGGAUUAGAUACCCCUGUAGUCCCUGUCUCUUAUAC